AACACCAGCACGUCUUAUAUUCUGAUAAACAGCAGCAGUGUGAAGCAUCACCGCUAAACAAAGACACACAGACAGACACGUUUCAGCCCAGAUUUAUACAAAAUGAAAAUAUAAACCUCAAUCUGAUUAGGUAGCAACAUUCCAGAGAUGGUGUUGUCCAGCAUUGGGGCUCCUCAGAGUUCAGUACUGUAGCUGUUUCUCUUUACCCUGUACACUGCUGACAUAUAAAUCUGAACUGUGUCACAUCCAGAAAUAUUCAGGUGAUACAGCAGUGUUAAAGCAUCAGCGAGCGACUAAUAUUAAUAACAAGACUUAUACAUGUCUACAGAUACUGUAGCUACUCCACACACCAAAACACUUUUUCAAAAACCCCACCUUUUAUCAGCAGGUGAUGCUCAGCUUCAGCAGCAGCCCAACACCCCCACAAUCAGCCAGCAUCAAGCAGAGCGUAAAGUAAAGCGGUGUACCACUGGUGAUGUGAAAAAGCUUUAAGCCUGUAAGAUGAGGUGUUGAGUGAGGGGGGCGGAGCUGAGUGUGUGUAGAGAGUAGAGAGGAUCAGCACACUGUCAUGCUGGUGUACUAAAGAGCUGAAACUCAGUGUGUUCUUCUCCCAGUGUGUGCUACACCACCAUGAUCAUUUUCACUGUACUGCUGCUCUCUGCUCUUACAGGUAACAGAGCUGAAGACGUCAUCACUCCUAGCAGAGACGCUGUUUUUGCUGUUGAAGGUCAGAAUGUUUCUCUCUCCUGUAACUACACUGUAACUGGAACCAGUUAUGGUCUUCACUGGUACCGACAGUAUUCAGGAUCAUCUCCCCAGUUCCUCAUACUGGACUAUGCAGGGGUCAUUACUAAAGCUAAACCUCCAGUUCCUAGAAUAUCCUUCAACCAUCAAAAAGAAAAGAGGAAAGUGGAUCUGAUCAUCUCCUCUACUUCAGUAUCAGACUCUGCUCUCUACUACUGCGCUCUGCAGCCCACAGUGACAGAAACCCACCAAACACUGUACUAAAACUUUACUUGUGAAAUAUGUAGAAACACUUAUAUUUCAGGAGGGGGCGCUGUUUCUCUUCUGCUUCUUUAUCUUCAGCUUCCUCACCAUUCAGGUUAGAACAUCAGUCUGCUUUGGAACAUCAGUCAUCAUGUUGUGACCUACAGUAAACUGGAACUCUCUAUAACCCUUUAUAAAUGUUUACUGAUACUUCUGUAAAAUAUGUUACAUUAUAUUGUUUGUAGAAACAUAUUAACUCUGAUUUUUAUUCACUUUUUAUAGACUAUUUCAAUGAAUUUCCUAAUUUCAAGAGAAAUGCAUUGUUUAAGUUGACACCACACAAAUUCAAUGAACCCCCUAUGGCAUGAUGUUGCCCACAGUUCAGAGAUCAGUCUCCCCGGACUAUUGAGGGCAACUACGCUCUCUUACACCUGAACUGAAUCUUGCCUGAUUAGUUUCCCUAUAUAUAUCUGGACUCUGUCUCUACCUCUUUGCGAGAUAUUUCCACUCUGUGACAUUAUUGAGCGUUUGUAUCACUGUGUUUUUCAUUUCCUGGCUUUCUGAUUCUUUGCCUGAUUUUUUACUACGGUUUUUGCAUUGCGUUUAUGUCCAUUAAAAUCAACUCUGCUUUUGUGUCCAA
This is a non-coding RNA of Astyanax mexicanus (Mexican tetra), 1627 nucleotides long. The record is from the annotation of a RefSeq genome assembly. Lineage: Eukaryota; Metazoa; Chordata; Actinopteri; Characiformes; Acestrorhamphidae.